GGGGGUAUAGCUCAGUGGUAAAGCAUUUGACUGCAGAUCGAGAGGUCCGUGGUUCAACUCUGUGUGCCCCCU
Molecule: non-coding RNA, 72 nt
Organism: Cordylochernes scorpioides
Lineage: Eukaryota; Metazoa; Arthropoda; Arachnida; Pseudoscorpiones; Chernetidae
Source: the annotation of a GenBank genome assembly